GGUUGUAUGGAGUAGUUGGUUAACUUAGGAGAUUCUGAUUGUUCUGUGCCUCAAGUGCCACAAUACGAUUCGACUUCUCUUGCCCUGGGUUCGAAUCCCAGUACGACCU
RNAcentral lists this transfer RNA (109 nucleotides) under Ustilago hordei. RNAcentral describes it as "transfer RNA-Gln(CTG)". It matches the Rfam family "tRNA". Rfam says of the family: Transfer RNA (tRNA) molecules are approximately 80 nucleotides in length. Their secondary structure includes four short double-helical elements and three loops (D, anti-codon, and T loops). Lineage: Eukaryota; Fungi; Basidiomycota; Ustilaginomycetes; Ustilaginales; Ustilaginaceae. The record is from RNAcentral.